CUACCGUUAGCUUAGUUGGAAGAGCAAAGGACUGUAGUUUUACCAAAUCAGUAUUACUUAGGUCACCGGUUCGACCCCGGUACGGUACA
Molecule: non-coding RNA, 89 nt
Organism: Paramuricea clavata
Lineage: Eukaryota; Metazoa; Cnidaria; Anthozoa; Malacalcyonacea; Plexauridae
Source: the annotation of a GenBank genome assembly